Physella acuta is the source of this 315-nucleotide long non-coding RNA. RefSeq lists it as uncharacterized. NCBI's taxonomy places the organism in Eukaryota, Metazoa, Mollusca, Gastropoda, Physidae. The record is from RefSeq and is a predicted model, not a curated record.
UGUACCUGCGCGUUAGCCGCCAGAAUCAAAGAUGAUGUUGUCUUACUGACAGGUUGUGUUACAGGGGAAGUAAUAACAGCAAAGCUUUUCAAGAGGGAGAAUUCAGAGCAAUUUUUUGUGAGGCGAUAUGACGGAGGUUUGCAGUAUGAAAUAUCCCUACCGACUGGCGGUCUCGUUGUGGCCCGAAAAACAUUUCAAGAUUCGAUCAAUGUCUGGUUUUAUCCAAGUCUCUCUGAUUCCAAUUCUACUGAAGGUCUUUGUGGGUCUUUUGGAUCAGGAUCAACUAGUGCCAGUUUAAGCAUUGAGACGUGGAGG